UGGAAGGUAGCUCACAGGUUAGAGCGGCGACUUAGUGCGCAGGUAGUCGGUUCGAGUCCGGCCCUUUCGA
Molecule: transfer RNA, 70 nt
Filed under: Lysobacter gummosus
Lineage: Bacteria; Pseudomonadati; Pseudomonadota; Gammaproteobacteria; Lysobacterales; Lysobacteraceae
Description: tRNA-OTHER
Rfam family: tRNA
About the family: Transfer RNA (tRNA) molecules are approximately 80 nucleotides in length. Their secondary structure includes four short double-helical elements and three loops (D, anti-codon, and T loops). Further hydrogen bonds mediate the characteristic L-shaped molecular structure. tRNAs have two regions of fundamental functional importance: the anti-codon, which is responsible for specific mRNA codon recognition, and the 3' end, to which the tRNAs corresponding amino acid is attached (by aminoacyl-tRNA synthetases). tRNAs cope with the degeneracy of the genetic code in two manners: having more than one tRNA (with a specific anti-codon) for a particular amino acid; and 'wobble' base-pairing, i.e. permitting non-standard base-pairing at the 3rd anti-codon position.
Source: RNAcentral